UGGUCAAGUUAUUAAGGGUGCAGGGCGGAUGCCUUGGCACUAGGAGCCGAUGAAGGACGUGAUAAGCUGCGAUAAGCUUCGGGGAGUUGCACGUAAACUUUGAUCCGAAGAUUUCCGAAUGAGGAAACUCACUUAGAGUAAUGUCUAAGUAUCAUUAAGUGAAUACAUAGCUUAAUGAGGGGAACUCAGGGAACUGAAACAUCUAAGUACCUGAAGGAAGAGAAAGAAAUUCGAUUCCGUAAGUAGCGGCGAGCGAACGCGGAUUAGCCCAAACCAAUAAAGUUUUCUUUGUUGGGGUUGCGGACAUAUCAUAACGAAGAGGUAUCGUAAUUGAAGAGGUUUGGAAAGACCCACCACAGAAGGUAAUAGUCCUGUAUGUUAAACGAGAAGACUUCAGAUAUGAUCCAGAGUACCACGGGACACGUGAAACCCUGUGGGAAGCAGGAGGGACCACCCUCCAAGGCUAAAUACUACCUAGUGACCGAUAGCGUAUAGUACCGUGAGGGAAAGGUGAAAAGAACCCCGGGAGGGGAGUGAAAUAGAACCUGAAACCCUGCACUUACAAGCUGUGGAAGCACAUUUCUUGUGUGACCGCGUACUUUUUGUAGAACGGGCCAACGAGUUACGUUAAGUAGCAAGGUUAAGCACUUAAGGUGCGGAGCCGUAGCGAAAGCGAGUUUUAACUGAGCGUUCAGUUACUUGACGUAGACCCGAAACCGGGCGACCUACCCAUGAGCAGGAUGAAGCGAAAGUAAAAUUUCGUGGAGGUCCGAACCCACGAGCGUUGAAAAGCUCGGGGAUGACUUGUGGGUAGCGGUGAAAUUCCAAUCGAGCCCGGAGAUAGCUGGUUCUCCCCGAAAUAGCUUUAGGGCUAGCCUCAAGGUGAGAGAUACGGAGGUAGAGCACUGAAUGUCCUAGGGGGUAUUGCACCUACCGAAGACUAUCAAACUCCGAAUGCCGUCAUCUUAUACUUGGGAGUCAGACUGUGGGUGAUAAGAUUCAUAGUCGAAAGGGCAACAGCCCAGAUCGUCAGCUAAGGUCCCUAAAUGUAAGUUAAGUGGUAAAGGAUGUGGGAUUGCACAGACAACCAGGAUGUUGGCUUAGAAGCAGCCACUCAUUCAAAGAGUGCGUAAUAGCUCACUGGUCGAGUGAUCCUGCGCCGAAGAUUUCCGGGGCUAAAACUUACUACCGAAGCUACGGCAUCAGUAAUGAUGGGUAGGGGAGCUUCCCAUACGGGUUGAAGCAUGACCGUAAGGACAUGUGGACAGUAUGGGAGUGAGAAUGUUGGCAUGAGUAGCGAGAUGUGGGUGAGAAUCCCACAGGCCGUAAACCCAAGGUUUCCAGGGGAAGGUUCGUCCGCCCUGGGUUAGUCGGGACCUAAGCUGAGGCCGAAAGGCGUAGGUGAUGGACAACAGGUUGAUAUUCCUGUACUACCGAUAACCGUUUGAGAGAAGGGAUGACACAGUAGGAUAAGCUAAGCACACUGUUGGUUAUGUGUGCCCAAGCAUUGAGGCAGUCAAAGCAGGCAAAUCCGCUUUGAUAAUGCUGGGAUGUGAUGGGGAGCGAAAUUUAGUAGCGAAGUAGCUGAUUUCACACUGUCAAGAAAAGUCUCUAUCGAGGUUAAAGGUACCCGUACCGCAAACCGACACAGGUGGGUGAGGAGAGUAUCCUAAGGCCAGCGAGAGAACUGUUGUUAAGGAACUCGGCAAAAUGACCCCGUAACUUAGGGAUAAGGGGUGCCACCAUCCGGUGGCCGCAGAGAAUAGGCCCAAGCGACUGUUUACCAAAAACAUAGGUUUCUGCUAAGUCGCAAGACGAUGUAUAGGAGCUGACGCCUGCCCGGUGCUGGAAGGUUAAGGGGAUCUGUUAGAGCAAUCGAAGCAGUGAACUUAAGCCCCAGUAAACGGCGGCCGUAACUAUAACGGUCCUAAGGUAGCGAAAUUCCUUGUCGGGUAAGUUCCGACCCGCACGAAAGGCGUAACGAUUUGGGCACUGUCUCAACAACAGACUCGGUGAAAUUGUAAUUCCGGUGAAGAUGCCGGAUACCUGCGACAGGACGGAAAGACCCCAUGGAGCUUUACUGUAGCUUGACAUUGGGUCUUGGUACUACAUGUACAGGAUAGGUGGGAGGCUUUGAAACCAGGACGCCAGUUUUGGCGGAGCCAUCCUUGGGAUACCACCCUUGUAGUACUGGGACUCUAACCAUAGGCCAUGAAUCUGGUCUUGGGACACUGUCAGGUGGGCAGUUUGACUGGGGCGGUCGCCUCCCAAAAGGUAACGGAGGCGCUCAAAGGUUCUCUCAGUACGGUCGGAAAUCGUACGUAGAGUGUAAAGGCAAAAGAGAGCUUGAUUGCAAGACAUACAGGUCGAGCAAGGAUGAAAAUCGGACUUAGUGAUCCGGUGGUUCUGCGUGGAAGGGCCAUCGCUCAACGGAUAAAAGCUACCCUGGGGAUAACAGGCUUAUCUCCCCCAAGAGUCCACAUCGACGGGGAGGUUUGGCACCUCGAUGUCGGCUCAUCACAUCCUGGGGCUGUAGUAGGUCCCAAGGGUUGGGCUGUUCGCCCAUUAAAGUGGUACGCGAGCUGGGUUCAGAACGUCGUGAGACAGUUCGGUCCCUAUCCGUCGCAGGCGUAGGAAAUUUGAGAAGACCUGUCCUUAGUACGAGAGGACCGGGAUGGACGUACCUCUGGUGUACCAGUUGU
Molecule: ribosomal RNA, 2702 nt
Filed under: Clostridioides difficile
Lineage: Bacteria; Bacillati; Bacillota; Clostridia; Peptostreptococcales; Peptostreptococcaceae
Description: partial 23S ribosomal RNA
Rfam family: Bacterial large subunit ribosomal RNA
Source: RNAcentral